RNAcentral lists this ribosomal RNA (383 nucleotides) under uncultured eukaryote. Its description in RNAcentral is "SSU rRNA". It matches the Rfam family "Eukaryotic small subunit ribosomal RNA", at positions 587 to 972 of the family's 1831-position model. The record is from RNAcentral.
AGCUCCAAUAGCGUAUAUUAAAGUUGUUGCGUUUAAAAAGCUCGUAGUUGGAUCUGCGGCCUAGGACAGCGGUCUCCCGAUGGGUUGUCACUGCUCGUUCCUGGCCUAAUUGCUCCGGUUUUCCCUUGGUGCUCUUAACUGAGUGUCUUGGGUGGCUGGAAUGUUUACUUUGAAAAAAUUAGAGUGCUUAAAGCAGGCGCACGCCUGAAUAGUGGUGCAUGGAAUAAUGGAAUAGGACCUCGGUUCUAUUUUGUUGGCUUUCGGAGCUCGAGGUAAUGAUUAAGAGGGACAGACGGGGGCAUUCGUAUUGCGACGUUAGAGGUGAAAUUCUUGGAUCGUCGCAAGACGAACUACUGCGAAAGCAUUUGCCAAGAAUGUUUUCA